AACGCUUUGUGGUUCAACUGAUUUGAAGAGCUUGCUCAGAUAUGACGAUGGACAUUGCAAAGAGUGGCGAACGGGUGAGUAACACGUGGGAAACCUACCUCUUAGCAGGGGAUAACAUUUGGAAACAGAUGCUAAUACCGUAUAACAAUAGCAACCGCAUGGUUGCUACUUAAAAGAUGGUUCUGCUAUCACUAAGAGAUGGUCCCGCGGUGCAUUAGUUAGUUGGUGAGGUAAUGGCUCACCAAGACGAUGAUGCAUAGCCGAGUUGAGAGACUGAUCGGCCACAAUGGGACUGAGACACGGCCCAUACUCCUACGGGAGGCAGCAGUAGGGAAUCUUCCACAAUGGGCGAAAGCCUGAUGGAGCAACGCCGCGUGUGUGAUGAAGGGUUUCGGCUCGUAAAACACUGUUGUAAGAGAAGAAUGACAUUGAGAGUAACUGUUCAAUGUGUGACGGUAUCUUACCAGAAAGGAACGGCUAAAUACGUGCCAGCAGCCGCGGUAAUACGUAUGUUCCAAGCGUUAUCCGGAUUUAUUGGGCGUAAAGCGAGCGCAGACGGUUAUUUAAGUCUGAAGUGAAAGCCCUCAGCUCAACUGAGGAAUUGCUUUGGAAACUGGAUGACUUGAGUGCAGUAGAGGAAAGUGGAACUCCAUGUGUAGCGGUGAAAUGCGUAGAUAUAUGGAAGAACACCAGUGGCGAAGGCGGCUUUCUGGACUGUAACUGACGUUGAGGCUCGAAAGUGUGGGUAGCAAACAGGAUUAGAUACCCUGGUAGUCCACACCGUAAACGAUGAGUGCUAGGUGUUUGAGGGUUUCCGCCCUUAAGUGCCGCAGCUAACGCAUUAAGCACUCCGCCUGGGGAGUACGACCGCAAGGUUGAAACUCAAAGGAAUUGACGGGGACCCGCACAAGCGGUGGAGCAUGUGGUUUAAUUCGAAGCAACGCGAAGAACCUUACCAGGUCUUGACAUCCCUUGACAACUCCCGAAAAUGGAGCGUUCCCUUCGGGGACAAGGUGACAGGUGGUGCAUGGGUGUCGUCAGCUCCUGUCCUGAGAAGUUUGGGUUAAAUCCCCCCACCAAGCGCAACCCUUAUAACUAGUUGCCCGCAUUUAAUUGGGGACCCUAUUGGAGAAUGCCGGUGAAAACCCGAAGAAAGAGGGGGGGGU
Molecule: ribosomal RNA, 1166 nt
Filed under: Weissella cibaria
Lineage: Bacteria; Bacillati; Bacillota; Bacilli; Lactobacillales; Lactobacillaceae
Description: bacterial SSU rRNA
Rfam family: Bacterial small subunit ribosomal RNA
Source: RNAcentral